RNAcentral lists this ribosomal RNA (468 nucleotides) under uncultured bacterium. Its description in RNAcentral is "partial 16S ribosomal RNA". It matches the Rfam family "Bacterial small subunit ribosomal RNA", at positions 28 to 507 of the family's 1533-position model. The record is from RNAcentral.
GACGAACGCUGGCGGCGUGCUUAACACAUGCAAGUCGAACGGAAAGGCCCUGCUUUUGUGGGGUGCUCGAGUGGCGAACGGGUGAGUAACACGUGAGUAACCUGCCCUUGACUUUGGGAUAACUUCAGGAAACUGGGGCUAAUACCGGAUAGGAGCUCCUGCUGCAUGGUGGGGGUUGGAAAGUUUCGGCGGUUGGGGAUGGACUCGCGGCUUAUCAGCUUGUUGGUGGGGUAGUGGCUUACCAAGGCUUUGACGGGUAGCCGGCCUGAGAGGGUGAACGGCCACAUGGGGACUGAGAUACGGCCCAGACUCCUACGGGAGGCAGCAGUGGGGAAUAUUGCACAAUGGGCGGAAGCCUGAUGCAGAAACGCCGCGUGCGGGAUGACGGCCUUCGGGUUGUAAACCGCUUUCGCAGGUGACGAAGCGUGAGUGACGGUAAUGGGUAAAGAAGCACCGGCUAACUACGUG